GGUAAGGUGGCCGAGUGGUUAAGGCGGCAGAUUUAAGUAAUUCUUGAAAUCCCUGCUAUCGAAAGAUGCAUGAGUUCGAACCUCAUCCUUACCA
Molecule: non-coding RNA, 94 nt
Organism: Aspergillus caelatus
Lineage: Eukaryota; Fungi; Ascomycota; Eurotiomycetes; Eurotiales; Aspergillaceae
Source: the annotation of a RefSeq genome assembly